Xyrichtys novacula (pearly razorfish) is the source of this 5178-nucleotide non-coding RNA. The record is from the annotation of a GenBank genome assembly. NCBI's taxonomy places the organism in Eukaryota, Metazoa, Chordata, Actinopteri, Labriformes, Labridae.
UUUGAUCUUCCCAUAAACACAUUCACAUUUUAAUACAGAUGUUUACACUUAGAUCAUCUGGUCAGCAUCUACAGCAUCACGCCUCUAUACAUUACAUGAUAUAAAUCUUCAUCGAGACACAUUAUCCUGGCAACAGUACAUAAAAAAGGUCCCUGCACAAUAAUGUAAACAUAGAUCAGAGAGAUUUAAAAUCGACCUGAUUCCUCCCACACGUGUAAAGUUAAGAGGGCACCUACACACACGCAAACACGCGCACACUCAUACACACUCAGUCACACACACACACACACACACACACACACACACACACACACACAUAUGAUCUUGGCCUACUCCAGGGUGUAUUUCAUUCGUUCAAAGGAAAAAAGAAAGAAGUCGUUAAUGAUUUUUUCCUGUCUUGUUUAACACAAAGAUAGAGUCUGACGCGGUGAAAUUAAAACGUGCGCGUUUAAUCAAAAUGUCAAUAAACGACGAAUUUCUACAUCUGCAAUUACGGUACACAUAAACUCAAGUUACAGUUUUAUUAUAACGUUAUGUCGCACGAUAUGAAGUGGUAACACUGAUGAAAAAUUCAAUCACGUAAUGGGUCAUAUUGUAGCUUCAUGUGCUGCUUUUGGUGCAUUUUGGGGGCCUGCGGGUCUCUCAUGUGCUUUUGCGCAUGCCAUGGCUCGUGUUGUGUUCUUUCCUAUCACGUCCAUAAAUUGUGUUAAUUUUUGGUGCAGCUGUUAGCCCGUAGCAAAUGGAAGGAUGGACAUUUUAAAAAAUCUAACAAAGCGAAAAUGGAUGAAUUUCUGUUGCAACUCUCUGUGUAUCUGAAAAUGGAAAACGAAUUUUACGCAUGGUUUCUAUCCUACUUUGUAACCUUUUAUUGGCCUUUAUGAGUUUGUUUUCCACAUUUAAUAUAAUCAUUAAUAAUCAUGCUAAUUUGGAGAUGCUGCUCAGAUCCUAACUUUAUCCUGAAAUGCAACAAAGGACAAGAAAGUGAUUUUUUUAGUGCGAGUUAUCAAACACUUGAAUUGAAUCAUUUGGAUUGGUUUGGGUGAAAGUACCCCGACUACAGGACUGUCACUAAAAGUACACAAUAGAUCUACAAGUGGAGUAAAAUAUCUUAUAUUUAAGUCUGAUUUUAAUCCUGAAGAAUAAGCAACGUGAUGUCUUAAUGCACAGACAUUUUACAGCUAAUAUCCCGAUUAAAGUUCAUAAUUCUUCAGUGUUUCCCGUUUGAUUGUAGUAAAUUAGAGGUAAAAUUUUAUUCAACCUGACAAAAGAAAAUAAUAUAGAGCCUGAAUUAAACAAGAAAUGAGGCAAAAAUGGCUUCAAAUCAGAUCAGAAACAGCGAGAAUAAAAGACUUCAGAAUGAAAUACAUUUAACACCAUUUUGACCUCGAGCUGUUAAUCCACGUUUUGUUAGACACCUUAAGAGAAUUAUCUUAAAAUCGAAAGUAACGAAAUUCUAACUCAAUUGAAAAGCCUUUAUAGUCCACGUGAUGUUUGCUCACUUACAUCUUUAAUUAGCUUCUUGACGGCGCUCUAUAAUAAGAUUUACGGUACUACGAUGAGCUGGUGUAUGUGCCAUAACUGUGACAUUUUGUGUCCAUUACUGCACUCCUGUUAGAGAGAGUUUGGAGGUUUAAUAGUCUCGACUAUUUUUAUCUGGGUGACAUUAUUGUAGUAGGUGAAUAGUCGUCUGUGAUAGGCCCGCUCUAAUGCAUUUCCUCUGGUUUUAAUUGGGCCGCGCUAAGUGACGCCCCCUGCGGUUUCAUCUCAUUACAGCCAGUCAGUGAAGCUACCUGAAGGGUUAAGGUCUGUAGCCUGUGACAAGAAAACACUGAUAUGUUAUUGUAUACACAAAAUUAAAUAAUUACAUGUUAGAAAUAGUCUACAAUAGAAAUCUACAGUUCUGAAAGGCCAAAGUGAAGCAAAGAGAAACACUGUCAGUAUGGGCUUAAAUGUGGAGGACAAUUUCUGAUAUCAUGAGGGGUGAAAUCCAAGACAUGGGGGGAACAGAAAUUAUGGAGCCAUGUCGAAGAAAUGUCAAAAAUACGAUUAAUUCAAAGUCUCAAAUUAAAUACAAAAACAGACAAUAUGCUUUGGUUCAAUUUGAAAAUAAUAAUGAUGAUUAAACAGACCAAGAAUCGCCUCUUUUAGAGUUUACACCAAAAAGAAAAGUCCGAUCUUCAGAUAUCGGUCAGAGCGAUCGAUAAUUUACCGCGAUAACUUAACUCACCUGCAAUAAUUUUCCACCGAUUUUUUUUCUUUUUUUCCACUAUCAUAUGAUACAUACAUAACGUACAUAAUGUUAAAAAAUAUAUCUCAGGCAUCAAUAUGAGUGAUCACACAUGCACUCCAGUGAGAGAAGAAGACGGCGGUGAGACACGUUCCUCAUAACCACCACUAGAUGUCACCAUCUAGUCGUCUAGUCUAACCCUCCCCUAUCCUUCAUCCUGCUCAUUCACCUCAUCCUCCUCCUCCUCAUCAUCCUCACUCCCUAAAACUCUUCGUGCAGAUCGAGCAGACAUCAAUCAGCCUGCGAGCUUCACUAACAGACUCACACACAGAGUUUGUAAGUAGAGUCACAGCAGAGAGGAUAUGUCCUCUUAUCUACUGAAAUGUUUACAGAGAAGAGUUCAUCUGAAUCUUUAGUAGAAAAAAACGUCAUGAAUUAUAAAAAUAGUAAAUUAUUAUUGUAAAAAUAGUAAUAAUAAUAAUAAAAAUUAUAUUGAUAAUGAUUUUAAGCUAUAACCUACUAACACUGAGUUUGCUUUAGAGUAAAAGAAACGGCAAAUCACUCCACAGAGCAGCAGAAAGCUCACACAUCUCCAAGUAUUCCGGUAUGCUCUUAGAAAAAUAACAUGUCUACUUCUUUAUCUCGGAGGUGUUUCAUUACAACAAUUUCAAAACACUGUUUCCCAGUGCCAGACAAGUCUCCCCUGUUUCUUUUACAGACUGCUCAGUAACAGGCUGAUGUCAGACCUGAAAUUGGAAAAAUACGUUUUAUUUUUAAUAACAUCUUUUUCUGCCUCACAGAUUAUUUCUAAAAAAAAAAAAAAAAAAAAUCCUGACACUGUCGUUUGGUUCGUCUCGUUUAGGAAUAGAUGUUUAAGUUUUGAUCGUGUUGAAAAUUAUCGCUCUGACCGAUCUCAUAAAGAAGAUUCACAUCAAAUCGUACUUGGGAUCAGCUGUUUUCUGUGGUUUCUCCAGGACGCGGCCUGAUGGCUCUAUUAAUACACAAUGCUGUUACAUUAGCUGCUCCCAUGUCGUUUUACACCAACAGUAACACAGACUCUAAGUCCAUAAAUUACUUCAUAGAAAUAAGAGUCAGUCAACAACAGCGGAGCUCUCCUCGCCGACCUCUAUGAAAUCUCUACACUUUAGAGUUUUAUGGUUGAUUCUCGCAAAAAGACUGAGGGCUUUCAUUUCCAAAUGAGUUGUUCUUAUUUUAUAAUCGAGUUACACAAAUUUACAAAGAAAGAGGCCACACGUGCACACCUCCUUUUCCUCUGAAAACAACACUCUCAUCAUUAAAAGCAGGAUGGAACAACAAAUUGCGCUUUUUUGGUCCUGAUAUUAUCCACAGCCAAAUAUGCACCAUCUCGGUUAUUUUCGUCUUUGAAAGUAAAUAGAAGUGUGUGUGUGUUUGUUUGUGUGUGUGUCCUUCAGAUUUUGGGAGGUGAUGAUGAAAACGAGAGUAACACCUCAGAGGAUGAUGAUGAUGAUGAUGAGGGGGAAAUAUUAAAGAUCCCGUUUUGUAAACUUACUAAGAGAGAAGUACCGUAAUGCUUCGUUUUAUUCCAACAUAGGUGUGGUGACGGACUCCUGUGGCUUUUUGAAUGUGUUUACGUGAUCCAGCCUGACCACUAGUGUUGAGCCACGAGCAGAUUGAGAGCAGGGUUCAAUGGCGAGGGGAGUAGCCUAUGGGGGACUGCAUCAUGCUCAGGCUGAUAGCACAAAGUUUUCUCUGCUGGAAAGAACAAGAAAAAAAAAACGUCCCAACAACUUGACAGAAACGUCGCGUGUAAAAGCGCAGAGUUAGAGCAGCAGCAGCAGAAGGAGCAGAAGCAGAAGCAGCACCUUUGGAUUGUGUUUGGAGGUAAGUCAAAAAAGGUUUGAUUAGGGGCACGCGCUUUAUCAGAUAUUGAGAUAUGAUAAGUGACAUUUGGAGAAGGAGAAAUCGUAUGCGUAAAAAGAUAUUCAGGUGAAAUUGAGAUCUGUUUUAAUCAUGUUAUGACUUUGGAUAUACAUUUCUUGCAUUUGCACUUGCACUUGCAUGCGCGCGCUCGUUCCUGGCAUCACUGCGCGCGUGCACGGACACCGAGGGAGACAGCUCUGAGCAAUUGUAGCCUAAAUGUCAGCGCUGCGUCACUGCAUUUUUGCAAACUGGGCAGGAGACUUUUUUUAUGAUUACUUUCUGCAACAACCUGCCCGUGUCAUUCCCCCCUUUCCUAAACCUCGAUGUGCAAGUCUCACCUUCCCCCCCAAGAUUUACCUCUGCAUCUCCUCUAUUGUUUGCCCCGCACACAGCUCUUUGUUCAUGCAUGCUGAAUUUGAGUAUUCAAAAGGCUUCCGCCGAAUUUGCAUCUUACAGGUUCGAGAAAAUAUGACUUAUUGAUAGGAAAAUACAACCGGUUUCGAGUCUAUGUAUUGACUGUUACAUCAGGCUUCGAUAUGAAUUUCAAAUCUGAAAUAUUACGCAAUAAAUGUCAUCGCUAUAUCACACGAAAUCGGUCUUUACACGUACAAAUAUGAUGAAACAUGGGAAAAUAAACACUGAAUGCAAAUCUCUCCACUGAAUAUGCAUCAAUAUUGAAAAUAAUACGCACACCAGAGCCAACGGCGUCCGAGAAUUGAGAAUGGAGGAGCGGGUCGUCUCAUUACGCAUGGGCGGCUUUCCACGCAGGAGCCUCGGUUCCCCUUCUCUUCGUGUCUCCGCUCCUUCCCCGGUCACACAAACGAAGCCUCUUUGGUAAAAAAACAAACAAGGUUGUGUCGGCUUUCAAAACCCGCAAUCAAACACCCAAGACCCGGCUGGGGGGAAUUACUCCGACUGCAGCAGGGCGGACUAUGUAGUAAGCGGGAUUUGCAUAUUUGGAUGCGCUAAUUGCCUUGAUGUAUUUAAAUAUGGCUGCACGUAGCUGAUAUGCUUGUCUACGUCAUUGAACGUGCCCUCGCUGUUAAACU